This 257-nucleotide long non-coding RNA is filed under the name Lathyrus oleraceus (garden pea). RNAcentral describes it as "Pisum sativum (pea) long non-coding RNA (PSAT_LNC017696)". The record is from RNAcentral. Lineage: Eukaryota; Viridiplantae; Streptophyta; Magnoliopsida; Fabales; Fabaceae.
AAAUAUUUCCAAUUUUAUUCCAAAACAUUCAAAUCAUAAAUUACAUAAUCAAAUCCAGACCAAGUACAUCAUAAUAUCAGUUAUAAUUCACAAACCCUAAUUUAUUUCCUAACUAAAUCAAAUACAUAAUCAAAUCAAAUCUAAAUUUCCUAAAUCAAUUAAUCUAAUUAAAAUCCUAAACCUAAAAAUAAUCUAUAAAAAGGAAAAUGGAGAAAGAAAAAGGGGAAGAGAAUUUGUUGCUGCAACCAUCAAACACU